AAUAAUCUGAUCCAAUUUAUAUAAUCCAUUUAUUAAACAUGUUAAGUCAUGUUAAAUAGAUUAAACGAGUCAAAUUAUGAUCUGAUCUAAUUAUUAAAUGGAUUAAAAUUAGUUAAAUGGUCAAAGAUCUAAACCUAAAGUCAACCCAUUUAAUAAAUUUAUCUAAAUGGGUUGACCGUUUAUGAUGCAAAUUCAUUUAUGUCUAAUCUAAUUCUACUUAAAGUGGGUUGUUCGUGCCUU
This 240-nucleotide long non-coding RNA is filed under the name Elaeis guineensis (African oil palm). RNAcentral describes it as "long non-coding RNA (EGUI_LNC043503)". The record is from RNAcentral. Lineage: Eukaryota; Viridiplantae; Streptophyta; Magnoliopsida; Arecales; Arecaceae.